Molecule: ribosomal RNA, 428 nt
Filed under: uncultured bacterium
Lineage: Bacteria
Description: partial 16S ribosomal RNA
Rfam family: Bacterial small subunit ribosomal RNA
Source: RNAcentral
GUGGGGAAUAUUGGACAAUGGGGGAAACCCUGACCCAGCAACGCCGCGUGAGGGAAGAAGGUUUUCGGAUUGUAAACCUCUGUCCUUGGUGACGAAGGAAGUGACGGUAACCAAGGAGGAAGCCCCGGCUAACUACGUGCCAGCAGCCGCGGUAAUACGUAGGGGGCAAGCGUUGUCCGGAAUGACUGGGCGUAAAGGGCGUGUAGGCGGCCGAUUAAGUCUGGAGUGAAAGUCCUGCUUUCAAGGUGGGAAUUGCUUUGGAGACUGGUUGGCUUGAGUGCGGAAGAGGUAAGUGGAAUUCCCAGUGUAGCGGUGAAAUGCGUAGAGAUUGGGAGGAACACCAGUGGCGAAGGCGACUUACUGGGCCGUAACUGACGCUGAGGCGCGAAAGCGUGGGGAGCGAACAGGAUUAGAAACCCCUGUAGUCC